This 687-nucleotide ribosomal RNA is filed under the name uncultured Comamonas sp. RNAcentral describes it as "bacterial SSU rRNA". It matches the Rfam family "Bacterial small subunit ribosomal RNA", at positions 796 to 1495 of the family's 1533-position model. The record is from RNAcentral. Lineage: Bacteria; Pseudomonadati; Pseudomonadota; Betaproteobacteria; Burkholderiales; Comamonadaceae.
GGCGCCUAAGAGUCACUGGUUGUUGGGAUUUAUUUUCGCAUAACGAAGCUAACGCGUGAAGUUGACCGCCUGGGGAGUACGGCCGCAAGGUUAAAACUCAAAGGAAUUGACGGGGACCCGCACAAGCGGUGGAUGAUGUUCUUUAAUUCGAUGCAACGCGAAAAACCUUACCCACCUUUGACAUGUACGGAAUCCUUUAGAGAUAGAGGAGUGCUCGAAAGAGAGCCGUAACACAGGUGCUGCAUGGCUGUCGUCAGCUCGUGUCGUGAGAUGUUGGGUUAAGUCCCGCAACGAGCGCAACCCUUGCCAUUAGUUGCUACGAAAGGGCACUCUAAUGGGACUGCCGGUGACAAACCGGAGGAAGGUGGGGAUGACGUCAAGUCCUCAUGGCCCUUAUAGGUGGGGCUAGAAACGUCAUACAAUGGCCGGUACAAAGGGUCGCUAAGCCGCGAGGUGGAGCCAAUCCCAUAAAGCCGGUCGUAGUCCGGAUCGCAGUCUGCAACUCGACUGCGUGAAGUCGGAAUCGCUAGUAAUCGUGGAUCAGCAUGUCACGGUGAAUACGUUCCCGGGUCUUGUACACACCGCCCGUCACACCAUGGGAGCGGGUCUCGCCAGAAGUAGGUAGCCUAACCGUAAGGAGGGCGCUUACCACGGCGGGGUUCGUGACUGGGGUGAAGUCGUAACAAG